GUAGUCCACGCCGUAAACUAUGGAUACUAGAUGUCGGAAGAUCUUACCCUUUCGGUGUCGUAGCUAACGCAUUAAGUAUCCCGCCUGGGAAGUACGGUCGCAAGAUUAAAACUCAAAGAAAUUGACGGGGGCCCGCACAAGCGGUGGAGUAUGUGGUUUAAUUCGACGCAACGCGAAGAACCUUAUCCUGGGCUUGACAUCUGGUGCUAUCCGGUGAAAGUCGGAGUUUCCUUCGGGAACGCCAAGACAGGUGCUGCAUGGCUGUCGUCAGCUCGUGUCGUGAGAUGUUGGGUUAAGUCCCGCAACGAGCGCAACCCUUGCUAUUAGUUGCCAGCAUUUAGUUGGGCACUCUAAUAGGACCGCUUGCCGAUAAGGCAGA
This 379-nucleotide ribosomal RNA is filed under the name uncultured bacterium. Its description in RNAcentral is "bacterial SSU rRNA". It matches the Rfam family "Bacterial small subunit ribosomal RNA", at positions 790 to 1167 of the family's 1533-position model. The record is from RNAcentral.